CUGAUUGAUUCUGUCAGCGAUGUAUGCUCAAGUAAAAGAUUAAGCCAUGCAUGCAUAGUUCAAAUUUUUGUUGAAACUGCGAACGGCUCAUUAGAGCAGAUGUCACUUUUUGCUGUCCUCUAUGAGGAUAACUGCGAUAAAUUUGGAGCUAAUACAUAUUUAAAAGCAUGCUCUCACGAGCAUGUACCAUUAUUAGUACAAACCAUGCAGCGUUUGUUGACUCUGAAUAUCGUAGAUAAUCGAAGGUUAAUCCAUCGAUUUAAGCAUUAGGUGUCUGCCCUAUCAACCUGAUGGUAGUUUAUUAGACUACCAUGGUGAUUACGGGUAACGGAGAAUCAGGGUUCGUCUCCGGAGAGGGAGCCUUAGAAACGGCUACCACAUCCAAGGAAGGCAGCAGGCGCGUAACUUAUCCACUACUUUAGUGAGAUAGUGACUAAAUAUAAAGAGACCAAUCCUCUGGAUUGGUUAUUUCAAUGAGAUGAGCUUAAAUAGCUCUUCGAGGACCCAGUGGAGGGCAAGUCUGGUGCCAGCAGCCGCGGUAAUUCCAGCUCCACUAGUGUAAAUCGUCAUUGCUGCGGUUAAAAAGCUCGUAGUUGAUAUCGAGACAUCUGUUUGGGUACGGCUCUGCCGCUAAUCCACUCAGUGUCUAACUUGCUGGUUUUCGGUAGGCUACUUCGGUUCCUGCUGUGACUAGCAAGUUUACCUUGAUCAAAUGAAUAUGCUCAAGGUAGGCGUUUGCCUGUAUUUUAGCUCAAGGAAUAAUAAAAUAGGAUUUAGUCGUAUUUUAUUGGUUUUGCGAUUAAUUAAUGAUUAACAAGGACAAUUCGGGGGCAUUCGUAUCCUUGCGCGAGAGGUGAAAUUCGUUGACCGUAGGGAGACGUCCAAUAGCGAAAGCAUUUGCCAAGAAUGUCCUUAUUAAUCAAGAACGAAAGUUAGAGGUUCGAAGGCGAUUAGAUACCGCCCUAGUUCUAACCGUAAACUAUGCCAUCUAGCGAUCCGAAGAGGUAUUAUGUCUCGUCGGGGAGCUUCCCGGAAACGAAAGUUUUUCGGUUCCGGGGGUAGUAUGGUUGCAAAGCUGAAACUUAAAGAAAUUGACGGAAGGGCACCACCAGGAGUGGAGCCUGCGGCUUAAUUUGACUCAACACGGGAAAACUCACCCGGCCCGGACACCAGUAGGAUUGACAGAUUGAUAGCUCUUUCUCGAUUUGGUGGUUGGUGGUGCAUGGCCGUUCUUAGUUGGUGGAGUGAUUUGUCUGGUUUAUUCCGAUAACGAGCGAGACUCUAACCUGCUAAAUAGUAUGUCAAUUUUCGAGUUGGCAGAACUUCUUAGAGGGAUAAGCGGUGUUUAACCGCACGAGAUUGAGCGAUAACAGGUCUGUGAUGCCCUUAGAUGUCCGGGGCUGCACGCGCGCUACACUGGAAGAUUCAGCUGGUUUUUCAUUGCCGAAAGGUAAUGGUAAACCGGUCAAACUCUUCCGUGACCGGGAUUGGGAAUUGCAAUUAUUUCCCUUGAACGAGGAAUUCCUAGUAAGUGUGAGUCAUCAGCUCACGCUGAUUACGUCCCUGCCCUUUGUACACACCGCCCGUCGCUGUCCGGGACUGAGCUGUUUCGAGAAGACUGAGGAUUGACGCUGCGAGGCUUCGGCUUUUCUGUGUCGAGAAUCAGUUUGAUCGCAAUGGCUUGAACCGGGCAAAAGUCGUAACAAGGUACCUGUAGGUGAACCUGCAGCUGGAUCAUCG
This 1740-nucleotide ribosomal RNA is filed under the name Cephaloboides sp. SB227. RNAcentral's name for it is "SSU rRNA". It matches the Rfam family "Eukaryotic small subunit ribosomal RNA". The record is from RNAcentral. Lineage: Eukaryota; Metazoa; Nematoda; Chromadorea; Rhabditida; Rhabditidae.